UACGUAGGGUGCAAGCGUUGUCCGGAAUUAUUGGGCGUAAAGAGCUCGUAGGCGGUUUGUUGCGUCGGCUGUGAAAUCCCGAGGCUCAACCUCGGGUCUGCAGUCGAUACGAGCAAACUAGAGUGUUGCAGGGGAGACUGGAAUUCCUGGUGUAGCGGUGAAAUGCGCAGAUAUCAGGAGGAACACCGGUGGCGAAGGCGGGUCUCUGGGCAACAACUGACGCUGAGGAGCGAAAGCGUGGGGAGCGAACAGG
This 253-nucleotide non-coding RNA is filed under the name Blastococcus deserti. RNAcentral describes it as "partial 16S ribosomal RNA". It matches the Rfam family "Bacterial small subunit ribosomal RNA", at positions 524 to 776 of the family's 1533-position model. The record is from RNAcentral. Lineage: Bacteria; Bacillati; Actinomycetota; Actinomycetes; Geodermatophilales; Geodermatophilaceae. RNAcentral also lists the same sequence under 4 other names.